CCCGCUGAACUUAAGCAUAUCAAUAAGCGGAGGAAAAGAAACUAACAAGGAUUCCCCUAGUAACGGCGAGUGAAGCGGGAAAAGCUCAAAUUUGAAACCUGGCCUCUUUGAGGAAAAUGUCGCAGGGUUGUAGUUUAUAGAGGCGUUUUCGAUGGAAUCCUGGGUAUAAGUCUUUUGGAACAAGGCAUCAUAGAGGGUGAGAAUCCCGUCUUUGACUCAGAGGUUUCCAUUCUGUGAUACGUCUUCAUAGAGUCGAGUUGUUUGGGAAUGCAGCUCAAAAUGGGUGGUAAAUCUCAUCUAAAGCUAAAUAUUGGUGAGAGACCGAUAGCAAACAAGUACCGUGAGGGAAAGAUGAAAAGCACUUUGGAAAGAGAGUUAACAGUACGUGAAAUUGUUGAAAGGGAAGCGCUUGAAGUCAUACUUGCAUUCGGAUCCGUCCGGGUGCAGGCCAGCAUCAAUUUUCGGGGCCAGAAAAGGGUGAGAGGAAUGUGGCAGCUCAGGCUGUGUUAUAGUCUCUCACUGGAUCCGGCUUUGGGGAUUGAGGAACGCAGCACGCUUCUUUGCGAGUCCCAAGGGACUUUCGUGCUUAGGAUGCUGGUGUAACGGCUUUAAACGACCCGUCUUGAAACACGG
RNAcentral lists this ribosomal RNA (633 nucleotides) under uncultured fungus. RNAcentral describes it as "eukaryotic LSU rRNA". It matches the Rfam family "Eukaryotic large subunit ribosomal RNA", at positions 24 to 664 of the family's 3401-position model. The record is from RNAcentral. Lineage: Eukaryota; Fungi.